GAUGAAGAACGUAGCGAAAUGCGAUAAGUAGUGUGAAUUGCAGAAUUCAGUGAAUCAUCGAAUCUUUGAACGCACAUUGCGCCCCUUGGUAUUCCAUGGGACAUGCCUGUUCGAGCGUCAUCUACACCCUCAAGCUCUGCUUGGUGUUGGGCGUCUGUCCCGCCUUUGCGCGUGGACUCGCCCCAAAUUCAUUGGCAGCGGUCCUUGCCUCCUCUCGCGCAGCACAUUUGCGCUUCUCGAGGUGCGCGGGCCGCGUCCACGAAGCAACUAUUACCGUCUUUGACCUCGGAUCAGGUAGGGAUACCCGCUGAACUUAAGCAUAUCAAUAAGCGGAGGA
This 337-nucleotide unclassified non-coding RNA is filed under the name soil metagenome. RNAcentral's name for it is "partial contains 5.8S ribosomal RNA, internal transcribed spacer 2, and large subunit ribosomal RNA". The stretch from base 1 to 120 matches the Rfam family "5.8S ribosomal RNA", at positions 35 to 154 of the family's 154-position model. The record is from RNAcentral.